Long non-coding RNA from Syngnathus acus (greater pipefish), 2048 nucleotides. RefSeq lists it as uncharacterized. The transcript is spliced from 2 exons. The record is from RefSeq and is a predicted model, not a curated record. NCBI's taxonomy places the organism in Eukaryota, Metazoa, Chordata, Actinopteri, Syngnathiformes, Syngnathidae.
CUGGAAGACCCCUUGAGCGUUUUAAAAUCGUCUGCUGACCUCCGCCAGCACGUUCUCAAAGAUGCAAUGGAACCUUUCAAUGAGACACAAUUUUUUCCAGGAAUGUAUUUAUUUAAAAAACAAUCGUCUGUAGGUAAUCAAGAAAUUGCAGGAAUCAAAAUGUUGCCACCUUUAUGAACUCUAGAGGCAGUGUUUUAAAUAGCAUUUUAAUGUUCCAAAAAUUCAAUAAUACCACUCAGAAAUUAAAGAAUUAGAAUUUAAAGAUGAGAAAGCAUUAACCGUGUGAGUACAAAAGUAAUCUUGCCACUGUCCUCUUUGUGUGGAGUUUUCAUGCGUUCCCUGGUCUUGUGUAGUUUGUGCAAAAAAAAACAUGUGAAGUACCGGCUUUUGUAGCAAAAGGGGAAAAAUGACUUUAAAUAUGUUCAUAAUGUACUGAUGCAAAAUCAUAAUGACUAUUUUAGCAGCCAGGCUGUCAUCCCCUCACUCGCUAGUUUCACAAGAUGGUUUUCCCUCAACUUGUUUGAACUUUGUGGUGUUAAAUCCUUAGUGCCCACUUUACAGUGUUGGAAUUUGAGGCGCUUGUAGGGCUCUUUUAGUCCACAGAUCUGUUUAUGCUCUAAUACAAGAACAGCAAAUCUCCUCGAUGACCUUUUAUGGAGGCGGGUUGGCGCUAACGUCUGAAAGUGUCUACAAGUUCAGGAUCUUGCGUUGCCCCAGGUUGUUAGAGAUUAUGCGUCAUCGCAGGUCCGGUCUUGUCUUGGCUUGAUGCAUCCUGCAGCCAUCUGGAAGGUGGGUUGUUUACCUGCGACCACACCUCUCUCUGAGCUGGAGAAGGGAGCGGACAGUAAUUGUCAAAAUAAAUUGAGCAACUUUGCAAACGUGUUUGCACUGGGUGCUCCUUUUUCCAUCCUUGUCAGGGUUUCUUGAAAGUCUGUCUUGAUCAUGCUUUCAUGGGUUUAAUGCUAGCGCUGUUUUGUAUUCAUACUCAGAGUGAACUGCACAAGGACUGUUAAAUUUUCAAUCGAGGAGGGUUCCCUCAGAUGCCCUUUAACACUUAAGGACUUCCAUGACACACCCUGACGCUCUUAUCGGAGUUUGUUGCAACCACCAGCAACAGCCUUCCUCUCACCUCCGCUUGAAAAACACUUCACUGGGGAGAGACUUGUGAUAGGACCACGUUCAAAGGCCGUCUCCUCCCCCUCAAUUGUGAAAAUACCUUGUAGUUGCUUCAAGCAUGUUGGAAUGAAAUUUGCGGUUGUAUUGUUCGAGUCAGCUUACUACUUCUCUUUUUACGUUCUUCUUUUCUUCUCAGUCCUUGUUGAGACAGGUUGGGAAAAUGUGUCGAGUUAAUCUGGAUGCUCGCUGAAGAGAGCUCUCCAACACAUUUGUUCAGUUUGAAUGAAAAAUUGCAGGUGUGUCGCCGCUGCUGGAGAAACUUGCAUGUGGCCAACCCGCUUAAUCAUUUGGCAAGCCUUGCCUUGUUAUGAGGAAGUCUUGUCUGGUUGUCACUUGUCGUGUGAAGCUCAAUAAAAAAAUAUUUUUUGGUAACCUCUAUGUACCAAUGCAGAAUCUGCACUUGGUGAUAAUUGAUCAUCAACCCAAAACUUUGCAUUCUGCUGUAGCUAAUUUAGCUCAGGAAUUCCCAGUGUAUUCUAUUGACAACUUUAUCAUUAACCAAACUUGUUUUCCCCCCCCCCCCCCCCCCCCCCCGAAAUGUUACUCUCUUCAUUUGUUAGCAGAUAUUUGGCCUGGCCACGUGGCCCCGCAUUUUCUACGCUGAGAAACGGGUCCAAACAUGCACCUGCGACAUUCGCCGUCUGAUUAUCAGUCAUAUGUCGCCCGUGGCCACGUGAGACUUCGGCCUGUCAGCCAAUUUCACUCGACCUAAUUUAUGUUGUCGCCUAUGGCAGCUGUUGGGAUUCAGAGGGUAGAAUAUUCCUUUCAGUUCCCCAGGCCAGGGGAACUUGAGAAACAACUUUUCUCAUCUUAAGACCCAAAUUGUAAGCUUAGAAACAUAAGCUAGGUCAAAAUCCAAUAAAUCCUUAAAU